This is a regulatory RNA element of Polaribacter sp. KT25b, 115 nucleotides long. It matches the Rfam family "Bacteroidete tryptophan peptide leader RNA". Lineage: Bacteria; Pseudomonadati; Bacteroidota; Flavobacteriia; Flavobacteriales; Flavobacteriaceae. The record is from Rfam.
CUUUCUACAUUUGUACCUCAAUGAAAAACAAUACAAAAAAUACAUGGUGGUGGAACUCUCUUAUUAAAUAAGUGAGAAGUAUACUAUAUGUAAAAAUAUAAUAAAAAGGCUUAUC